Molecule: ribosomal RNA, 433 nt
Filed under: uncultured eukaryote
Lineage: Eukaryota
Description: SSU rRNA
Rfam family: Eukaryotic small subunit ribosomal RNA
Source: RNAcentral
CAAUAGCGUAUAUUAAAGUUGCUGCAGUUAAAAGCUCGUAGUUGGAUUUGUGGCGUGGUCGUCCGGCGGGGCUCCUUCAUUGGGGCCGUUUGUCUGGUUUUUCGACCGCACCAUUCUCGGGUAGUGUGUCGCUGGCAUUAGGUUGUCGGCUUCUUCACGCCCGUCGUUUACUGUGAAAAAUUAGAGUGUUCAAAGCAGGCUUAGGCCGUUGGAUACAUUAGCAUGGAAUAAUGAGAUAGGGCCACGACGGUCUAUUUUGUUGGUUUGCACGUUGUGGUAAUGAUUAACAGUAACGGUUGGGGGUAUUCGUAUUCAAUUGUCAGAGGUGAAAUUCUUGGAUCGCCGUAAGACGAACUACUGCGAAAGCAUUUGCCAAGCAUGUUUUCCUUAAUCAAGAACGAAAGUCAGAGGUUCGAAGACGAUUAGAUACCAU